GUCAACUACCCGCCAAUAAAUUGGCAGGCAUGUAAAAGUGUCUAGGUUGACCAGAUCACUGAUUGGGAGGAAACAAUAUCAGUAAACGAUAGACAAGAAAUAGUUACCUUCAAAUAUCGCCUCAGUUUGAAGCUCUAAGGAUACAAAUUAAACAAUCUUAAAGGGUUAUAGAUAGUGUUUGUAUCGCAAAACCUUGUUAUAUCAGAUCGAGAGGAGGUCGGA
Methanosarcina sp. Ant1 is the source of this 222-nucleotide non-coding RNA. Lineage: Archaea; Methanobacteriati; Methanobacteriota; Methanomicrobia; Methanosarcinales; Methanosarcinaceae. The record is from Rfam.